RNAcentral lists this ribosomal RNA (938 nucleotides) under bacterium enrichment culture clone ZZ_F4b. RNAcentral's name for it is "bacterial SSU rRNA". It matches the Rfam family "Bacterial small subunit ribosomal RNA", at positions 28 to 964 of the family's 1533-position model. The record is from RNAcentral.
GACGAACGCUGGCGGCGUGCUUAACACAUGCAAGUCGAACGGAACACCCUUGACAGAGGUUUCGGCCAAUGAAGAGGAAUGUUUAGUGGCGGACUGGUGAGUAACGCGUGAGGAACCUGCCUUUCAGAGGGGGACAACAGUUGGAAACGACUGCUAAUACCGCAUGAAGCAGCGAGGGGACAUCCCCUUGCUGUCAAAGAUUUAUCGCUGAAAGAUGGCCUCGCGUCUGAUUAGCUAGUUGGUGGGGUAACGGCCCACCAAGGCGACGAUCAGUAGCCGGACUGAGAGGUUGACCGGCCACAUUGGGACUGAGAUACGGCCCAGACUCCUACGGGAGGCAGCAGUGGGGAAUAUUGGGCAAUGGACGCAAGUCUGACCCAGCAACGCCGCGUGAAGGAAGAAGGCUUUCGGGUUGUAAACUUCUUUUAACAGGGAAGAGAAGAAGACGGUACCUGUUGAAUAAGCCACGGCUAACUACGUGCCAGCAGCCGCGGUAAUACGUAGGUGGCAAGCGUUGUCCGGAUUUACUGGGUGUAAAGGGCGUGUAGCCGGGAAGGCAAGUCAGAUGUGAAAUCUGGAGGCUCAACCUCCAAACUGCAUUUGAAACUGCCUUUCUUGAGUAUCGGAGAGGUAAUCGGAAUUCCUUGUGUAGCGGUGAAAUGCGUAGAUAUAAGGAAGAACACCAGUGGCGAAGGCGGAUUACUGGACGACAACUGACGGUGAGGCGCGAAAGCGUGGGGAGCAGACAGGAUUAGAUACCCUGGUAGUCCACGCUGUAAACGAUCAAUACUAGGUGUGCGGGGACUGACCCCCUGCGUGCCGCAGUUAACACAAUAAGUAUUGCACCUGGGGAGUACGAUCGCAAGGUUGAAACUCAAAGNAAUUGACGGGGGCCCGCACAAGCGGUGGNNUAUGUGGNUUAAUUCGAAGCAACGCNA